This 464-nucleotide ribosomal RNA is filed under the name uncultured bacterium. Its description in RNAcentral is "partial 16S ribosomal RNA". It matches the Rfam family "Bacterial small subunit ribosomal RNA", at positions 339 to 795 of the family's 1533-position model. The record is from RNAcentral.
CUACGGGUCGCUGCAGUGGGGAAUAUUGGACAAUGGGCGGAAGCCUGAUCCAGCAAUACCGCGUGUGUGAAGAAGGCCUGAGGGUUGUAAAGCACUUUCGUCGAGGAGGAAGCGGUGGUAGUUAAUAGCUAUUAUAGUUGACGUUACUCGAAGAAGAAGCACCGGCUAACUCUGUGCCAGCAGCCGCGGUAAUACAGAGGGUGCAAGCGUUAAUCGGAAUUACUGGGCGUAAAGCGUGCGUAGGCGGAUAGUUAAGUCAGAUGUGAAAUCCCCGGGCUCAACCUGGGAAUUGCAUCUGAUACUGGAUAUCUAGAGUAUGGUAGAGGAUGGCGGAAUUUCCGGUGUAGCGGUGAAAUGCGUAGAUAUCGGAAGGAACACCAGUGGCGAAGGCGGCUAUCUGGGCCAAUACUGACGCUGAGGCACGAAAGCAUGGGUAGCAAACAGGAUUAGAUACCCCCGUAGUC